Molecule: ribosomal RNA, 460 nt
Filed under: uncultured bacterium
Lineage: Bacteria
Description: partial 16S ribosomal RNA
Rfam family: Bacterial small subunit ribosomal RNA
Source: RNAcentral
CCUACGGGAUGCUGCAGUGAGGAAUAUUGGUCAAUGGGCGCGAGCCUGAACCAGCCAAGUAGCGUGAAGGAUGACUGCCCUACGGGUUGUAAACUUCUUUUAUAAAGGAAUAAAGUGAUGCACGUGUGCCUUUUUGUAUGUACUUUAUGAAUCAGGAGCGGCAAACUCCGUGCCAGCAGCCGCGGUAAGACGGAGGAUCCGAGCGUUAUCCGGAUUUAUUGGGUUUAAAGGGAGCGUAGAUGGGUUGUUAAGUCAGUUGUGAAAUUGUGCGGCUCAACCGUAAAAUUGCAAUUGAUACUGGCAGUCUUGAGUACAGUUGGGGUAGGCGGAAUUCGUGGUGUAGCGGUGAAAUGCUUAGAUAUCACGAAGAACUACGAUUGCGAAGGCAGCUUACUAAACUGCCACUGACAUUGAUGGUCGAAAGUGUGGGUAUCAAACAGGAUUAGGUACCCUUGUAGUC